UCAUGGCCGGCAGCUACACAUGCAGUCGAACGGUAGCACAGAGAGCUUGCUCUCGGGUGACGAGUGGCGGACGGGUGAGUAAUGUCUGGGAAACUGCCUGAUGGAGGGGGAUAACUACUGGAAACGGUAGCUAAUACCGCAUAACGUCGCAAGACCAAAGAGGGGGACCUUCGGGCCUCUUGCCAUCAGAUGUGCCCAGAUGGGAUUAGCUAGUAGGUGGGGUAACGGCUCACCUAGGCGACGAUCCCUAGCUGGUCUGAGAGGAUGACCAGCCACACUGGAACUGAGACACGGUCCAGACUCCUACGGGAGGCAGCAGUGGGGAAUAUUGCACAAUGGGCGCAAGCCUGAUGCAGCCAUGCCGCGUGUAUGAAGAAGGCCUUCGGGUUGUAAAGUACUUUCAGCGGGGAGGAAGGUGUUGUGGUUAAUACCCUCGCCCAUUGACGUUACCCGCAGAAAAAACACCGGCUAACUCCGUGCCAGCAGCCGCGGUAAUACGGAGGGUGCAAGCGUUAAUCGGAAUUACUGGGCGUAAAGCGCACGCAGGCGGUCUGUCAAGUCGGAUGUGAAAUCCCCGGGCUCAACCUGGGAACUGCAUUCGAAACUGGCAGGCUAGAGUCUUGUAUAGGGGGGUAUAAUUCCAGGUGUAUCCCUGAAAUGCGUAUAGAUCUGGGGGAAAAACCUGGGGAAAAGUGCCCCCUGUACGAACACAAGGACUCCAGGCGGAAGGGUGUGGAGGAGACAGGGGGGAUAUAA
Molecule: ribosomal RNA, 756 nt
Filed under: Pantoea agglomerans
Lineage: Bacteria; Pseudomonadati; Pseudomonadota; Gammaproteobacteria; Enterobacterales; Erwiniaceae
Description: bacterial SSU rRNA
Rfam family: Bacterial small subunit ribosomal RNA
Source: RNAcentral